RNAcentral lists this ribosomal RNA (440 nucleotides) under uncultured bacterium. Its description in RNAcentral is "partial 16S ribosomal RNA". It matches the Rfam family "Bacterial small subunit ribosomal RNA", at positions 338 to 795 of the family's 1533-position model. The record is from RNAcentral.
CCUACGGGUGGCAGCAGUGGGGAAUAUUGCACAAUGGGGGAAACCCUGAUGCAGCGACGCCGCGUGAGUGAAGAAGUAUUUCGGUAUGUAAAGCUCUAUCAGCAGGGAAGAACAUGACGGUACCUGAUUAUGAACCCCCGGCUAACUACUUGCCAGCAGCCGCGGUAAUACGUAGGGGGCAAGCGUUCUCUGGAUUUACUGGGUGUAAGGGGAGCGUAGACGGCAGCACAAGUCUGGAGUGAAAUGCCGGGGCUUAACCCCGGAACUGCAUUGGAAACUGUGCAGCUAGAGUGCAGGAGAGGUAAGUGGAAUUCCUAGUGUAGCGGUGAAAUGCGUAGAGAUUAGGAGGAACACCAGUGGCGAAGGCGGCUUACUGGACUGUAACUGACGUUGAGGCUCGAAAGCGUGGGGAGCAAACAGGAUUAGAUACCCCUGUAGUC